AGCGUACACGGUGGAUGCCCUGGCAGUCAGAGGCGAUGAAGGACGUGCUAAUCUGCGAUAAGCGUCGGUAAGGUGAUAUGAACCGUUAUAACCGGCGAUUUCCGAAUGGGGAAACCCAGUGUGUUUCGACACACUAUCAUUAACUGAAUCCAUAGGUUAAUGAGGCGAACCGGGGGAACUGAAACAUCUAAGUACCCCGAGGAAAAGAAAUCAACCGAGAUUCCCCCAGUAGCGGCGAGCGAACGGGGAGGAGCCCAGAGCCUGAAUCAGUAUGUGUGUUAGUGGAAGCGUCUGGAAAGGCGCGCGAUACAGGGUGACAGCCCCGUACACAAAAAUGCACAUGCUGUGAGCUCGAUGAGUAGGGCGGGACACGUGGUAUCCUGUCUGAAUAUGGGGGGACCAUCCUCCAAGGCUAAAUACUCCUGACUGACCGAUAGUGAACCAGUACCGUGAGGGAAAGGCGAAAAGAACCCCGGCGAGGGGAGUGAAAAAGAACCUGAAACCGUGUACGUACAAGCAGUGGGAGCACGCUUAGGCGUGUGACUGCGUACCUUUUGUAUAAUGGGUCAGCGACUUAUAUUCUGUAGCAAGGUUAACCGAAUAGGGGAGCCGAAGGGAAACCGAGUCUUAACUGGGCGUUAAGUUGCAGGGUAUAGACCCGAAACCCGGUGAUCUAGCCAUGGGCAGGUUGAAGGUUGGGUAACACUAACUGGAGGACCGAACCGACUAAUGUUGAAAAAUUAGCGGAUGACUUGUGGCUGGGGGUGAAAGGCCAAUCAAACCGGGAGAUAGCUGGUUCUCCCCGAAAGCUAUUUAGGUAGCGCCUCGUGAAUUCAUCUCCGGGGGUAGAGCACUGUUUCGGCAAGGGGGUCAUCCCGACUUACCAACCCGAUGCAAACUGCGAAUACCGGAGAAUGUUAUCACGGGAGACACACGGCGGGUGCUAACGUCCGUCGUGAAGAGGGAAACAACCCAGACCGCCAGCUAAGGUCCCAAAGUCAUGGUUAAGUGGGAAACGAUGUGGGAAGGCCCAGACAGCCAGGAUGUUGGCUUAGAAGCAGCCAUCAUUUAAAGAAAGCGUAAUAGCUCACUGGUCGAGUCGGCCUGCGCGGAAGAUGUAACGGGGCUAAACCAUGCACCGAAGCUGCGGCAGCGACGCUUAUGCGUUGUUGGGUAGGGGAGCGUUCUGUAAGCCUGCGAAGGUGUGCUGUGAGGCAUGCUGGAGGUAUCAGAAGUGCGAAUGCUGACAUAAGUAACGAUAAAGCGGGUGAAAAGCCCGCUCGCCGGAAGACCAAGGGUUCCUGUCCAACGUUAAUCGGGGCAGGGUGAGUCGACCCCUAAGGCGAGGCCGAAAGGCGUAGUCGAUGGGAAACAGGUUAAUAUUCCUGUACUUGGUGUUACUGCGAAGGGGGGACGGAGAAGGCUAUGUUGGCCGGGCGACGGUUGUCCCGGUUUAAGCGUGUAGGCUGGUUUUCCAGGCAAAUCCGGAAAAUCAAGGCUGAGGCGUGAUGACGAGGCACUACGGUGCUGAAGCAACAAAUGCCCUGCUUCCAGGAAAAGCCUCUAAGCAUCAGGUAACAUCAAAUCGUACCCCAAACCGACACAGGUGGUCAGGUAGAGAAUACCAAGGCGCUUGAGAGAACUCGGGUGAAGGAACUAGGCAAAAUGGUGCCGUAACUUCGGGAGAAGGCACGCUGAUAUGUAGGUGAAGCGACUUGCUCGUGGAGCUGAAAUCAGUCGAAGAUACCAGCUGGCUGCAACUGUUUAUUAAAAACACAGCACUGUGCAAACACGAAAGUGGACGUAUACGGUGUGACGCCUGCCCGGUGCCGGAAGGUUAAUUGAUGGGGUCAGCGCAAGCGAAGCUCUUGAUCGAAGCCCCGGUAAACGGCGGCCGUAACUAUAACGGUCCUAAGGUAGCGAAAUUCCUUGUCGGGUAAGUUCCGACCUGCACGAAUGGCGUAAUGAUGGCCAGGCUGUCUCCACCCGAGACUCAGUGAAAUUGAACUCGCUGUGAAGAUGCAGUGUACCCGCGGCAAGACGGAAAGACCCCGUGAACCUUUACUAUAGCUUGACACUGAACAUUGAGCCUUGAUGUGUAGGAUAGGUGGGAGGCUUUGAAGUGUGGACGCCAGUCUGCAUGGAGCCGACCUUGAAAUACCACCCUUUAAUGUUUGAUGUUCUAACGUUGACCCGUAAUCCGGGUUGCGGACAGUGUCUGGUGGGUAGUUUGACUGGGGCGGUCUCCUCCUAAAGAGUAACGGAGGAGCACGAAGGUUGGCUAAUCCUGGUCGGACAUCAGGAGGUUAGUGCAAUGGCAUAAGCCAGCUUGACUGCGAGCGUGACGGCGCGAGCAGGUGCGAAAGCAGGUCAUAGUGAUCCGGUGGUUCUGAAUGGAAGGGCCAUCGCUCAACGGAUAAAAGGUACUCCGGGGAUAACAGGCUGAUACCGCCCAAGAGUUCAUAUCGACGGCGGUGUUUGGCACCUCGAUGUCGGCUCAUCACAUCCUGGGGCUGAAGUAGGUCCCAAGGGUAUGGCUGUUCGCCAUUUAAAGUGGUACGCGAGCUGGGUUUAGAACGUCGUGAGACAGUUCGGUCCCUAUCUGCCGUGGGCGCUGGAGAACUGAGGGGGGCUGCUCCUAGUACGAGAGGACCGGAGUGGACGCAUCACUGGUGUUCGGGUUGUCAUGCCAAUGGCACUGCCCGGUAGCUAAAUGCGGAAGAGAUAAGUGCUGAAAGCAUCUAAGCACGAAACUUGCCCCGAGAUGAGUUCUCCCUGACUCCUUGA
This 2787-nucleotide ribosomal RNA is filed under the name Escherichia coli. Its description in RNAcentral is "bacterial LSU rRNA". It matches the Rfam family "Bacterial large subunit ribosomal RNA". Lineage: Bacteria; Pseudomonadati; Pseudomonadota; Gammaproteobacteria; Enterobacterales; Enterobacteriaceae. The record is from RNAcentral.